RNAcentral lists this ribosomal RNA (669 nucleotides) under Halopteris carinata. Its description in RNAcentral is "partial 16S ribosomal RNA". The record is from RNAcentral. Lineage: Eukaryota; Metazoa; Cnidaria; Hydrozoa; Leptothecata; Halopterididae.
UACGGAAUGAACUCAAAUCAUGUAAGAUUUUUAAUGGUCGAACAGACCAACCUUAGGUAACUGCUGCAUUACCUGGGAAAACUUAAUUCAACAUCGAGGUGUCAAACUUCAUCUUCGAUACCUUCUCUAGGAUGAAAUUAACCUGUUAUCCCUAAAGUAGCUUUUAUUUAAUUAUUGUCAUCAUGAUUUUUUUUUGAAGACAGGUCAUUAACCCCACUUUGUGAUUGUUAAAUUUAUAAAUUAAACAAUAAGGUUUUAUUUUUAACUAUAAACAACUGAGUUGUUGUCUUGGUUGCUAUUCUUUUUUUUUAAAACGCUGUUGCCCCAACAAAACUACCCGUCCAGUUAUGGUCUGGUUGAAAUUACUAAUUUCGAAUCAGUGUACUGGAUUAAUAGUGAAGCUUUAUAGGGUCUUCUCGUCUUACAGUUUUAAAUAGCAUCUUCACUAUUAUUUAAAUUUUUAUUAAAUUUACAUUUAAGACAGUGGAAACCUCGUAAAGCCAUUCACCUACGUUCGCUAAUUAAGCGACUAUUUAUUUUCCUACAUUAUCACCGUCAGGAUACAGCGGCCGUUUAAUUGUAUUGUUAGUUUUUUAGACUGUGUAUAAAUCACUGGGCAGGCAUCGCCUCAUACUACUAGAUGGGGUUAUGUUUUUGGUAAACAGUCGA